This 900-nucleotide ribosomal RNA is filed under the name uncultured Chloroflexota bacterium. RNAcentral's name for it is "bacterial SSU rRNA". It matches the Rfam family "Bacterial small subunit ribosomal RNA", at positions 8 to 916 of the family's 1533-position model. The record is from RNAcentral. Lineage: Bacteria; Bacillati; Chloroflexota.
AGAGUUUGAUCCUGGCUCAGGAUGAACGCUGGCGGCGUGCUUAAGACAUGUAAGUCGAACGAGGGGCUUCUGUAGUAAUACGGAGGCUUCCUAGUGGCGAACGGGUGAGUAACGCGUUGGUGACCUGCCCCAAAGCGGGGGAUAACGGCUCGAAAGGGCUGCUAAUACCCCAUGUUGUCUCAAGGGUUAGAGGCCUUGAGACUAAAGGCGUAAGCCACUUUGGGAGGGACCUGCGUCCUAUCAGCUUGUUGGUAGGGUAACGGCCUACCAAGGCUACGACGGGUAGGGGGCCUGAGAGGGUGACCCCCCACACUGGCACUGAAACACGGGCCAGACACCUACGGGUGGCAGCAGUCGGGAAUAUUGCACAAUGGGCGAAAGCCUGAUGCAGCAACGCCGCGUGCGCGAUGAAGGCCUUCGGGUCGUAAAGCGCUUUUCGGGGAGAUGAGUAAGGACAGUAUCCCCGGAAUAAGGAUCGGCUAACUACGUGCCAGCAGCCGCGGUAAAACGUAGGAUCCGAGCGUUAUCCGAAUUCACUGGGCGUAAAGCGCGUGCAGGUGGUCCGGUAAGUUGGAUGUGAAAGCUCCUGGCUCAACUGGGAGAGGUCGUUCAAUACUGUCGGACUUGAGGACGGUAGAGGGAGGUGGAAUUCCCGGUGUAGUAGUGAAAUGCGUAGAUAUCGGGAGGAACACCUGUGGCGAAAGCGGCCUCCUGGACCGUUCCUGACACUAAGACGCGAAAGCUAGGGGAGCGAACGGGAUUAGAAACCCCGGUAGUCCUAGCCGUAAACGAUGUGAACUAGGCGUCGGUGGGGUAAAAGCCAUCGGUGCCGUAGCUAACGCGGUAAGUUCACCGCCUGAGGACUACGGCCGCAAGGUUAAAACUCAAAGGAAUUGACGG